AAUGGUGGGUACUCAUAGGCUGGGUUCAUUGGGGCUGUUCUAUGAUUAAUUGUGGUGGGGAAUGGUAGGUACUCAUAAGCUGGGUUCAUUGGGCUGUUCUAUGAUUAAUUGUGGUGGGCAAUGGUGGGUACUCAUAGGCUGGGUUCAUUGGGGCUGUUCUAUGAUUAAUUGUGGUGGGGAAUGGUAGGUACUCAUAGGCUGGGUUCAUUGGGCUGUUCUAUGAUUAAUUGUGGUGGAGAAUGGUAGGUACUCAUAGGCUGGGUUCAUUGGGCUGUUCUAUGAUUAAUUGUGGUGGGGAAUGGUAGGUACUCAUAGGCUGGGUUCAUUGGGCUGUUCUAUGAUUAAUUGUGGUGGAGAAUGGUAGGUACUCAUAGGCUGGGUUCAUUGGGCUGUUCUAUGAUUAAUUGUGGUGGGGAAUGGUAGGUACUCAUAGGCUGGGUUCAUUGGGCUGUUCUAUGAUUAAUUGUGGUGGGGAAUGGUGGGUACUCAUAGGCUGGGUUCAUUGGGCUGUUCUAUGAUUAAUUGUGGUGGGGAAUGGUAGGUACUCAUAGGCUGGGUUCAUUGGGCUGUUCUAUGAUUAAUUGUGGUGGGGAAUGGUAGGUACUCAUAGGCUGGGUUCAUUUGGGCUGUUCUAUGAUUAAUUGUGGUGGGGAAUGGUAGGUACUCAUAGGCUGGGUUCAUUGGGCUGUUCUAUGAUUAAUUGUGGUGGGGAAUGGUAGGUACUCAUAGGCUGGGUUCAUUGGGCUGUUCUAUGAUUAAUUGUGGUGGGGAAUGGUAGGUACUCAUAGGCUGGGUUCAUUGGGGCUGUUCUAUGAUUAAUUGUGGUGGGGAAUGGUAGGUACUCAUAGGCUGGGUUCAUUGGGGCUGUUCUAUGAUUAAUUGUGGUGAGGAAUGGUAGGUACUCAUAGGCUGGGUUCAUUGGGCUGUUCUAUGAUUAAUUGUGGUGAGGAAUGGUAGGUACUCAUAGGCUGGGUUCAUUGGGCUGUUCUAUGAUUAAUUGUGGUGGGGAAUGGUAGGUACUCAUAGGCUGGGUUCAUUGGGCUGUUCUAUGAUUAAUUGUGGUGGGGAAUGGGAGGCACUCAAA
This is a long non-coding RNA of Mytilus californianus (California mussel), 1084 nucleotides long. RefSeq lists it as uncharacterized. The transcript is spliced from 5 exons. The record is from RefSeq and is a predicted model, not a curated record. Lineage: Eukaryota; Metazoa; Mollusca; Bivalvia; Mytilida; Mytilidae.